GGAUUAGAUACCCUGGUAGUCCACGCCCUAAACGAUGAGAACUAGCUGUCGGGAGAAUUAAAUCUUUUGGUAGCGUAGCUAACGCGUUAAGUUCUCCGCCUGGGGAGUACGGUCGCAAGAUUAAAACUCAAAUGAAUUGACGGGGGCCCGCACAAGCGGUGGAGCAUGUGGUUUAAUUCGAUGCAACGCGAAGAACCUUACCUGGUCUUGACAUCCUUUGAAUCCCUGAGAGAUUGGGGAGUGCCUUCGGGAACAGAGAGACAGGUGCUGCAUGGCUGUCGUCAGCUCGUGUCG
RNAcentral lists this ribosomal RNA (294 nucleotides) under uncultured bacterium. RNAcentral describes it as "partial 16S ribosomal RNA". It matches the Rfam family "Bacterial small subunit ribosomal RNA", at positions 775 to 1067 of the family's 1533-position model. The record is from RNAcentral.